RNAcentral lists this ribosomal RNA (497 nucleotides) under uncultured bacterium. RNAcentral describes it as "partial 16S ribosomal RNA". It matches the Rfam family "Bacterial small subunit ribosomal RNA", at positions 28 to 507 of the family's 1533-position model. The record is from RNAcentral.
GAUGAACGCUGGCGGCGUGCCUAAUACAUGCAAGUCGAGCGAACAGACGAUGAGCUUGCUCCUCUGACGUGAGCGGCGGACGGGUGAAUAACACGUGUAUAACCUACCUAUAAGACUGGUAUAACUUCGGAAAACCGGAUCUAAUACCGUAUAAUAUAUUGAACCACAUGGUUCAAUAGUGAGAGACGGUGUUGCGGGCACGUAUAGCUGGAUCCACGCCGGAUUAGCUAGUUGGUAAGGUAACGGCUUACCAAGGGAACGAUGCGUAGCCGAGCUGAGAGGGGGAUAGGCCACAUUGGAACGGAGACAGGGUCAAGACUCCUACGGGAGGCACCAGUAGGGAACGUUCCGCAGCGGGCGAAAGCAUGACGGAGUAACGCGGAGUGAGAGAUGACGGUCUUCGGAUCGUAAAACUCUGUUAUUAGGGAAGAACAAAUGUGUAAGUAACUAUGCACGUCUUGACGGUACCUAAUAAGAAAGCACCGGCUAACUACGUG